This is a long non-coding RNA of Felis catus (domestic cat), 3410 nucleotides long. RefSeq lists it as uncharacterized. The record is from RefSeq and is a predicted model, not a curated record. NCBI's taxonomy places the organism in Eukaryota, Metazoa, Chordata, Mammalia, Carnivora, Felidae. The transcript has 4 exons.
AGUCAAGGUCCCGGACCACAUUCCCCCAACACAGCUAGAGGAGUGGUUUCUCAUCCUUUAGAUCCUUGGGGAUUUGUAAAUCUCCCGUGGACCAGGCUGCAUCCCACAUCAGCAGAGAAGUGCUGAGACCGGACCCAGCCAUCAGUAGUUGUAAACUCUCCAGGUGCUUCCAAUGAACAUCCAGGCUGAGAACAAUUAAAACAGAUCAUCUGAUGUUAAUCACAAUUAAAAUGUGGUGAUGCCACAUGAUGACUUCGGAUCCCUCCAUUUCCUCUGAGGUACUGGUAACAGCGGUGGACUCUAAGCGUGAGAGGACGUAUACCCAGGUUUGGGGCCAGCUUUUGGAAGGAAGAACAAUUUUGGAUAACAGGCUCAGCCAUCAGAAAGUGUUUCUGCAGCAAAAAGAAUAUCAUCCAUGUAAUGGAUAAUCAACACCUGUGGGACCUGAAUACGUAAUUGGGAAAGUGGCUGAUUAACAAAAUGCUGACACAUAGUAGGGCUAUUAAGCAUACCUUGCAGAAGCCCUUUCCAUGGAUGGCAUCACACAGGAACCAUAUGAUUGUCUGAAGGUACAGAACAGGCAAAUUUUUCUCUAUCAUCUGGCAGUAGAAGAACUGUGAAAAACAAUCUUUUAAAUCGACUAUAAUUAAUGACCAGUUCUGAGGAAUCCUAGUAGGAGACGGGAGCCCAGGUUGCAAAGCAAAGGUCCCAUAGACCGUAUAACCUCGUUUACCUUCCUUAAGUCAGUCAACAUUCUCCAUUUCCCAGAUUUUUUCCUUAUCACACACACAAGAAUUCCAUGGACUGGUGGGCAUUUCUACAUGACCUGCAUCCAAUUGUUCUUGCACUAAUUGUUCUAGAGCCUCUAAUUUCUGUUUGGGAAGGGGCCACGGUUCCACCCACACCAGGGCAGUUGUUAACCAUUCUAAUGCUAAGGCAUAACGUUGUUCAGGAACAGUGGCUCUUACACUAAACCUGAAUUCUGUACAGGCUAUCCCAGUCCCACACAAGGUGGCCACAUUUCGGCAGUAAUUGUUCCCAUAAGCCCAUUUUCUUGUCGUCCAAGCCCUUUUAAUGGAUUAUAACUCACUUUGGACACCAUAUUGGUUGCAGCAGGGGAAACAUAAGGAAUAUUAAUACAUGCUCCCCAUUGACUUAGGAGGUCUCUUCCCCAUGGAUUAAUGGCUGUAUCAGUAACAUAAGUCUGGAUAGUAGCAGCCUGGCCUUCAGGCCCUUCACAUAGAAAAGUUUCAACACUCUGUUGGAUGUCAGUAGCUUUUCCUUCACCUGUAAAGACUGUGGAUAUAGGUCGGAGUGGCCAAUUCUUAGGGCAAAACUUAGAAGCAAUGAUGGUGACAUCAUCAGCUCCUGAGUCUACCAGGCCAGUAGAUGAUGUUCCAUUCAUUUGUAAGGUCAUCUCAGGCCUUUGUCCUUUAGAAAUGUUUGCCAAGAUAUCUGUUUGCCCGUAGAUCCAAACCCUCCCUGCCAGUCUAUUGGCGUGGAGAUUAAAGCAAUGUAAGGCAACAAUGGUAGUUGGGCAAUGCGACCUCCUGCCAAGACAUGAUAAGGAACUGAAGUACUAAUCAUUACUAAAACUUCAUCCUUAAAAUCAGCUCCUAUAAUUCCUAAGUAGACAUGAACUCCCUUGGACAUAAGACUACUUCGUCCAAUAAGAAGGCCAAUGGACCCUGAAGAGGCCCGUAAAUCCCAGUUUUAACCUUGUAAAUUCCCAUGGAGGGUUUGAGGACCAGAGACUCUGGGGCAGGAAUAUCUAAUGCAGCACUCCCUCAUGUGGCAUGGAGAAGGUCAUGGACAGAUUUGCAUGAAAUCCUGAAGGAUGAGCUUCGCCGGCUCCAAAGUUUCCUUCGGUUCCCUGGGCCCUUCUUCAGUGGUGCUGCACACGUCCCCCUUCAGGUUCCCUGUUCAGGCACCAGCUGAAGAGAGGUCCUAAAGGCCUGGCACCCGUAUGAUGUCCUUCUGGAGGGAGCGAGCAGUCCCGGCAGCUUUCUGUCCUGGAGAUGAAACUGUUUUCGCUUCCUUGCUGCUCUGUCCCUCUCCUUCAGGACAUUCUUAUGGUGCCUCCGGCUUCUUGUUCUCCGACCUACUUGGACACCAGCCACCAGGAUACCUCCCAUGCCCUCCUCCGUGUACCUGCUGGAGCCUGGGAUGCAUGUUGGAGCCCAGCUCAGGCCUCUCUCUGCAGCUGCUGAGUGCAUGGCACCUACCUAGAUCCCUGCAGCUAUGACACCUACCUAGAUCCCUGCAGCUAUGACACCUACCUAGAUCCCUGCAGCUGACCCCCCAACACACAGGUGCUAGCUCCAGCCGUGCCCUUCGUGCUGCUGGCCUGACGCUUGUUCCAGGCCUCUACUGCUAUUUGCAUGCCCCUGGUGAUAGCCUGUAGCCACCCAAGUGCAGGCCACAGCCAGACCCCUAUAGCUGCUCGUGACCCAGAUUCAGCCCUAUCUCCAGUCACUAGCUUGCACCACUGUGCUCACCUAUAACUAGCCCCUCCAGCUGUGUACCUGCACCCCGCUAGCCUGACUCCUACUACCCACAUCCACUGCUGUGUACCAGACAGCCAGGACCCCCUUAGCUACUUGUGGGCUCAGCUUUGUCCCUGUCUCUUGUCACUGACCUGUACCCCUGUGCUUAUGUGCAGCUGGCCUUUCCAGCUAUUCACCUGCACGCCCCCAGCCCAGCUGUUUUCACUGCCUCCAGUGCCCUGUAUACACCCCUGGAAAGACCCCCUACAGCCUCAAGAGUGUAUGCUGACAGCCAGAACUCCUACAGCUACCAGUGCACCUGAGGCUGGCCAGACUUCCAUCACUGCAUGGGUGUCUGCAACCACUCCUGGGCACUACACAGGCCUGUGCAGCUGGACCCUCCUGCGGAGCAUGUGCAUGCCCCGGACCCUGCCACCACUGCUCCCUGACCCAAGCUGCUGGACCAGGAGGGGCCAUUGAGGUCCUCUACAGCCCUUACAGCCACUGUGAACCCCCCUGCAGUACUUUCCAAGGGCCACACAGCUAUUGAUGGUGUGGAUCUCAGCAGCUUGAGCUGACGAGACAUCAUGUGCCUGCCUCACGCCCCCGACCCCUGAUCCAAAGCUAGCACAUGCUCCUGCUUGAAGGUCUUCCCCCUUUACUGCAGUUUGUCCAUCAAGUCUAGAAGAGGUUAUUGCUCAUUCAAAUGCGCAGACACUGAUGCAAGGCUAUAGGGAUCAAAAAGAAUGAGCGAAACAUGCCCCCACCAAAGGAACACAGGAAACUUCUAAUAACUGACCCCAAAGAAAUGGAGAUACGUACAUUUCCUUAAGAAGAAUUCAAAGUAAUUGUUUGAAAGAUACUCAGAAAUGAUGGUUACCAGAGGGGAGGUGGCUGGGGUGAAAUGGGUGAGGGGGAUUAAGG